GCCUACGGGACGCAGCAGUCGGGAAUAUUGCGCAAUGGAGGAAACUCUGACGCAGUGACGCCGCGUAUAGGAAGAAGGUUUUCGGAUUGUAAACUAUUGUCGUUAGGGAAGAUACAAGACAGUACCUAAGGAGGAAGCCCCGGCUAACUAUGUGCCAGCAGCCGCGGUAAUACAUAGGGGGCAAGCGUUAUCCGGAUUUAUUGGGUGUAAAGGGUGCGUAGACGGAGAAACAAGUUGGUUGUGAAAUCCCUCGGCUCAACUGAGGAACUGCAACCAAAACUAUUUCCCUUGAGUGUCGGAGAGGA
RNAcentral lists this ribosomal RNA (305 nucleotides) under uncultured bacterium. RNAcentral's name for it is "bacterial SSU rRNA". It matches the Rfam family "Bacterial small subunit ribosomal RNA", at positions 337 to 658 of the family's 1533-position model. The record is from RNAcentral.